GUAUGGUCAGACAGGAGAUCGCUUCCCAAGACAUCAGCUAAAGCCCAGAAAUCUAAAAUGUCAUUAACCAGUUUAGUUUGAAAAAAAAAAUUCAGAAAUUUAGGCUGAUCUAUUUAUAUGAACUGACGGGUGCUACCAAGUUAAUCCUGUAAUUAAAAUUCAUUUCUCAAAGAUGUUACUAUAAUCUUAGAAAUAUUAAAGAUUUAAACCCUAAAGAUUUCUAUGGAAGUGAUUAAAUUUUCUCAAUUAUUUCUCCCCUCUCUCCCAGAGUGAUUAAUUUCACUUUCUGUGUCUCAAUCCUUGAGCCAGAAGGCUUCUGUGGAGGCUCCUGACUCAGGGAAACCUGUUUCCGGGAUCAUCUCGGUUAGACACACAGCUGCCGCCAAGACGUUCCCUUUCCAAGCAUGGGUUUUAAAUUAUGGCCAAUCAAGAGGCCGAGCUGGAAGAACACCUGUCAGGGACCGUUUUUCUACCAGGAGAUGGUCUCUUUCAUCGCAUUUCACUGUAGUUCAGAGAAAGGUUCAUUUGAAAAUGUGGCACCUGCUUCUAGGAUUCAACCUCCUCUGCUGAAACACCAAUUUGGAAUUGAUUUCUGACGUUAUUCAAUAGUGAAACGAGAAACUGCGACAAAGUGUCUAAAAGGGAAGAAAGGACUUUCCCAGACUUGAUUUGCAACUUUCCCUGGUGGAAAAAAAAAAAAUCUAAAAAAUGUAUUUUUCAACUUUUCUGUGUGAAUAUAAUUAAUAAUAGGAAUUCUUUGGAGCAAACUUGUACAACAUUGGAGGGAGAUGGUGAAAACAUUUCAUAAACCCUGGCUGAUUUUCCUGCGUUGAGAUUGGUUACAUUUAUCUGUGAACAAUGCCAAGUAUUAUUGAUACUGACUGGUGCUUGGAGAGACUUUGAACUUGGCUCUAAUGGGGAGCACCCUUAAGUCCGUUAAUCGCAGGUACUUUCUCAUGUCCGCACACUAUAUUGUGUAACUAUCAGAAGACAAACUUCAUUUUGCAAACUGUGAUUUAAUGGUAGAACAGUGUGCAGACCCGAAUAUCAGUUAAUUUUCAAAACAUUUUAUUCUACACCAAUUAGCUCACGUCCUGGAGGGCAGAAUGACAAGAGGUUACUCAUUCGCUAUGUAUUUAAUUAAUUGAAAAAUGCUCAAAUUGCUUUUACAGUUGUUAUUAAAAAGUAGAAUCAGUGUUGCCAGUGCUCAACCAUAAUUGGAACCCCAGGGAAUUAAAUAUUUAGCAUUAGUAAUGUAACAGCACUUAGGACACAAAUUUCUAUUUUCGUAAUGAAAGCUAUACACUGCGAGUGCAAGCAGCAGAAAGGACAGAUGUGACAAGCCGAGUGGCCUGGGAUAUUUCAAUAAGACACCUCAUUGGACAGCAAGUCUUACCACAUUACCCGUUUGUAAGAGACCUGCAAGUUUAAUUCCCAACAGAAACCCGUUACCCAAGUAUUUAGAUUUCUAAUUGCAUCAGGGACGAACAGCCGGGCAAAUGUCUUGCUGUAAGGGGCUGGAAAUGUAGACCGCUUUCUGAAUAAUCCUAUAUAAGUUCAUGCCUUCGUCAAUUUAAAAAUAGCGGGACUGCCCGAGAAUAAAGAUCUUGUUUGUUUUAAGUUUAAUUACAUUUUAGGCAUACAUGUUUUCAGUGCUACAGUGAGAAAACUUGGAUGUGGAGCUCUAAUGAGCUGUAGUGGUAGACGGCUGGAGACCCUGAGGGAUUCACUCCGUAAAUUAACUGGAUAAAAGUACUUGGUUAGGAUAUGGUUGAUGGCUGAGCUGUUCUUAAAACCCAGUUAUAGAGCUGUCUCUCACCGCUGUUUUCAUUCUAAACAGGCCCUGUAGAGACUUAAACAGCCGCCUGUUACAACUGUUCAACUUGUCAAAAUGUAUUGUAUUACUUCACUAAUAAAUAGUAUUAAAGGGUAUUUGACUUCGUUUCUGGUUUUCAGAGGGGAUCAGGUUGAUAAACACAACUGGCUUAGGUUGGCCUUCUUUUAAUUUCUUUAUGUCAUCUAAGUAAUAUGGGAGGCCCACGCUUGGAAUUUGCAAACAUUACUUUCCUGGAGACGUAAAACUUACAAUAUAAUAUGUACAAUGGAAACAAUGAGUGGAGACUAUUUAUUACAGAGUGUUUGUUCUUGAAAGAUGUAUGACUUUGGCGUUCUCAGCUUACGUUCCAAGUCUUGGGAACCUCCUGCUACCCUGCCAUUCUUUGAAGCAUGGCUAAACUAAUUCCUUUGCCCAUCAUUCUAUCUGUUCUUGAAAAACUUGUUGUAAGAUAAAUUAAUUUCACAAUUUUCUUUGUCUAUUGUCCCUGUGUCUGGUUUUUGGUAAUUUAUUUUAAUUGAUCAUGAUCUCUUAUCUAUUCUUAAGCAAUUUUAAAAACAAUAUAUGCUUACUUUUUAAAAUUUUUUUUUAUUUUUUUGGUACUUGGGAUCGAACCCAAGGGCACUUAAUGACUGAGCCACUUCUCCAGCCCUAUUUUGUAUUUUAUUGAGAGACAGGGUCUCACUGAGUUGCUUAGAGCCUCGCUAAGUUGCUGAAGCUGG
RNAcentral lists this long non-coding RNA (2556 nucleotides) under Marmota monax (woodchuck). The record is from RNAcentral. Lineage: Eukaryota; Metazoa; Chordata; Mammalia; Rodentia; Sciuridae.